Molecule: ribosomal RNA, 253 nt
Filed under: uncultured bacterium
Lineage: Bacteria
Description: partial 16S ribosomal RNA
Rfam family: Bacterial small subunit ribosomal RNA
Source: RNAcentral
UACGGAGGGUGCGAGCGUUGUCCGGAAUCACUGGGCGUAAAGGGCGCGUAGGCGGCCUGCUAAGUAGGGGGUGAAAUCCUGCGGCUUAACCGCAGGGCUGCCUUCUAAACUGUCAGGCUUGAGCACAGUAGAGGCAGGUGGAAUUCCCGGUGUAGCGGUGGAAUGCGUAGAGAUCGGGAAGAACAUCAGUGGCGAAGGCGGCCUGCUGGGCUGUUGCUGACGCUGAGGCGCGACAGCGUGGGGAGCAAACAGG